GUCGGGUAAGUCUUGCACGACCAGCUCCCUCUGAAUUCCCCCAGGGUCGGAAGGCAGCAAGGGUAGGAGGUCGUAGCGGUGCGAUGCAAACCGCUUACCCG
RNAcentral lists this signal recognition particle RNA (101 nucleotides) under bovine gut metagenome. RNAcentral's name for it is "Bacteroidales small SRP". It matches the Rfam family "Bacteroidales small SRP", at positions 8 to 103 of the family's 107-position model. From Rfam's summary of the family: The non-coding component of the signal recognition particle in Bacteroides The record is from RNAcentral.